UACGGAGGGUGCAAGCGUUAAUCGGAAUUACUGGGCGUAAAGCGCGCGUAGGCGGUUUUGUAAGUCGGAUGUGAAAGCCCCGGGCUUAACCUGGGAAUUGCAUUCGAUACUGCGUGACUAGAGUAUGGUAGAGGGAAGCGGAAUUCCGGGUGUAGCGGUGAAAUGCGUAGAUAUCCGGAGGAACACCAGUGGCGAAGGCGGCUUCCUGGACCAAUACUGACGCUGAGGCGCGAAAGCGUGGGGAGCAAACAGGAUUAGAAACCCGAGUAGUCC
This 273-nucleotide ribosomal RNA is filed under the name uncultured bacterium. Its description in RNAcentral is "partial 16S ribosomal RNA". It matches the Rfam family "Bacterial small subunit ribosomal RNA", at positions 524 to 796 of the family's 1533-position model. The record is from RNAcentral.